RNAcentral lists this non-coding RNA (22 nucleotides) under Arabidopsis thaliana (thale cress). Lineage: Eukaryota; Viridiplantae; Streptophyta; Magnoliopsida; Brassicales; Brassicaceae. The record is from RNAcentral.
UGGAAACCCUUUCAUAGUGCUU